This 490-nucleotide ribosomal RNA is filed under the name uncultured bacterium. Its description in RNAcentral is "partial 16S ribosomal RNA". It matches the Rfam family "Bacterial small subunit ribosomal RNA", at positions 30 to 507 of the family's 1533-position model. The record is from RNAcentral.
AUUGAACGCUGGCGGCAGGCCUAACACAUGCAAGUCGAACGGUAACAGGAAGCAGCUUGCUGCUUUGCUGACGAGUGGCGGACGGGUGAGUAAUGUCUGGGAAACUGCCCGAUGGAGGGGGAUAACUACUGGAAACGGUAGCUAAUACCGCAUAACGUCGCAAGACCAAAGAGGGGGACCUUAGGGCCUCUUGCCAUCGGAUGUGCCCAGAUGGGAUUAGCUAGUAGGUGGGGUAACGGCUCACCUAGGCGACGAUCCCUAGCUGGUCUGAGAGGAUGACCAGCCACACUGGAACUGAGACACGGUCAAGACUCCUACGGGAGGCAGCAGUGGGGAAUAUUGCACAAUGGGCGCAAGCCUGAUGCAGCCAUGCCGCGUGUAUGAAGAAGGCCUUCGGGUUGUAAAGUACUUUCAGCGGGGAGGAAGGGAGUAAAGUUAAUACCUUUGCUCAUUGACGUUACCCGCAGAAGAAGCACCGGCUAACUCCGUG